GUGCCAGCCGCCGCGGUAAUACGGAGGGUGCAAGCGUUAUCCGGAUUCAUUGGGUUUAAAGGGUGCGCAGGCGGAUAAUUAAGUCAGUGGUGAAAUCCCGGGGCUCAACCUCGGAACUGCCAUUGAUACUGAUAAUCUGGAAUACGGUUGAAGUGGGCGGAAUGUAGCAUGUAGCGGUGAAAUGCAUAGAGAUGCUACAGAACACCGAUCGCGAAGGCAGCUCACUAAGCCGAUAUUGACGCUCAGGCACGAAAGCGUGGGGAGCGAACAGGAUUAGAUACCCUGGUAGUCCACGCCGUAAACGAUGAUAACUCGUUGUUGGCGAUAUACAGUCAGCGACUAAGCGAAAGCGAUAAGUUAUCCACCCGGGGAGUACGAUCGCAAGGUUGAAACUCAAAGGAAUUGACGG
Molecule: ribosomal RNA, 409 nt
Filed under: uncultured bacterium
Lineage: Bacteria
Description: bacterial SSU rRNA
Rfam family: Bacterial small subunit ribosomal RNA
Source: RNAcentral